ACAGUCCUUCUGAGGAAGGGCAUGUGAGGUGUUCGUUGUCUGUGGUAGACCUGGGUCUGUGGGAGGCUCAGGAUUCUGGUCCGGACUGGAGUAGAACCUGGGGAGCUAUUGGCUGGCCUCUGUUAUUUAAAGCCACAGAAUGGAUGUAAAACCAAGGACUAGCAGUCAUACUGAGACGGUGAAAUGGUGGAAAUUGGAACCUUAGGGAGCAGCACUGGGCUGGAUGGAAGAGGAAGAGCCUGCAAGAGAAAAGAGCUGCGGAGGUCAGAGGGAGCGGCUGUGCCUUGGGCCAGGGGAGCAGUGAGCCACGUUCCUUAUCCCAAGCAGACUCCUUGGAGAUCUGGAGAGGCCGGAGCUGAGGGCCGGGACCCCGAGGGCCUCGGAAGGAGUUGUUUCAGCCUCUUGGGGCAACAGCCAGAUCCCAGUGGCUCUGGAAGUAAUCUGUCUAGAUGUGAGAUGAUGAAGGAAGGAAGGAUGGCUGUACUUGAGGAGGGAGCCGGGUCACAGAUGGGGCAAGAGGCACGAUCGUGGUGUUGAGUGAAGAGAAAGGACUGAAGACAAAGGAAGUGCCGGAGCCUGUCCUGGAGAAAGGAGAAGGGACCUCUUGUCUGUGGAGUCAGAAAAGCAGGAAAGGUUGAAGGGAGAAGGUGCUACUUACUCACUACCAGGGGCCUGGGACACAAGCCUGUUUGAGGGUUUCUGAAGAACAGUGGAGAUGCUGAGAUUCUGUGCAGGCCUUUCUGACUUUGCACCAGUGGCAGUUCGCAGCCUCCAGGACUUGGCUCGCAUCGCCAUCCGGGGCACCAUUAAAAAGAUUAUUCAUCAGGAAACUGUGAGCAAAAACGGAAACGGACUAAAGAACACCCCCAGGUUUAAACGAAGGAGAGUUCGCCGCCGUCGAAUGGAAACGAUUGUCUUUUUGGACAAAGAAGUCUUUGCCAGUCGGAUUUCCAACCCCUCAGAUGACAACAGCUGUGAAGACUUGGAAGAGGAACGGAGGGAAGAAGAAGAGAAGACCCCGCCGGAAACAAAGCCAGACCCCCCAGUGAACUUCCUACGCCAGAAGGUCCUGAGCCUCCCUCUGCCAGAUCCCCUGAAAUACUACUUGCUUUAUUACAGAGAAAAAUAAGUCUCCUGUUUGAAAGGGGGAAAUAGGAAGAGCAGAUUGCUGAGUGUGAAGUUCGUGCUGCCUGUGUGCUGUUGAAGGGUCACCUGGAGGCAGACGUUGUGGGGAAGGGAACUGCUGGGCUCAUCCACACCAUGGUUUUCUUCUAGUUCCUGAUUGACCUCUAAAAUUCUAUUCAGUUGUAUGAUUUGUUUACAUAGUUCCACAAGACCUUCAUUGCAUAGAAGAUUGUUUUCCCAAAGUGGAGAGAAUCUUCAUAGAGAAAAAGAGAAGGCUGUUUCUUUUUCGGCUCUGACGAAACACUGAAGUCUGCGUAAGAGAGACUGUUUGAUGACCGUCCCUCAUGCAACAUGCACGGUACUCACUAAAAAUGAAAACUGAAGUGGAAACUAACCUGUGUUGCUUAUAAAGUGUGAAAGCACAAGCUUAUAAAUGUAUAAAAUCUUUUCUGGGUGUGACGCACCUGCGUCCAAGUUUGAAUUUUUAUGAUAUGUACCACUUAAUUACUGGCACUGAGUAUCACUGAAUUUCUUAGUUUUCUAGUGGGGAAACAUUAUUGAGAAGCCCUCCCUUAUUUUAAGUAAGUUGAUUAAAUCUUAUGUGAGUUGCCAGUUGUAAUUUUUCAAAGGAAAAAUUUUGAUGGGGUGGAGGAAUGAAUUGCCAGAUAAUCUUUCUGGAAUUCCGAGAGAAUUCCAAAGAGGGUUUUUUUUUUUUUUUUUAGGACAUCUUUUGAUACCUUUAAAAGAACCACUGUCAAGUAAUCCUUAAAAGAAUAUCUUGGAAAAGGAAACAGAUUUUUUCCUGUGUGUAAGCAAUAAGUGAAGUUACAUUUGCCCUAACCCUAGGGAUGAUUCUUUACCCAGUUUUAAAGCCCAUCAUGGUAUUCUAAGGUGUUGACACCCUCCAUCCUCAGAGCAGGUCGAAAAUAUUAAAUAGACUGGGGACUCUAUGAUGGGCAGCCUGUGCUUUUUGACUUCAGUUUGCUAUUUUUCUGUGAUCACAUUAGUACUGAUUCAUAGAUUCUAUCUUUUAUAAUUCUGGAGAAAAAGAUUUGUUAGUUUUGUAAUUUUUUUGUAAGACCAAAUGUAUGUAUUUUAGUAGCUCCAUUGCAUGAGAAGAGUGUAACUCACACUGACUUGUGAUAUCAGCCUUCUCUGGGCCUUGUGUGUGGAGAGCUUUCUAUCUUACCAAGUGGUAGGGCUAAAAGAACAACAGCCUUUUUGGUAGUCACAUAGCAGAAUGAUC
Molecule: unclassified non-coding RNA, 2371 nt
Filed under: Homo sapiens (human)
Lineage: Eukaryota; Metazoa; Chordata; Mammalia; Primates; Hominidae
Description: protein-L-isoaspartate (D-aspartate) O- methyltransferase domain containing 2 (ENSG00000280663.4)
Source: RNAcentral